This 1024-nucleotide long non-coding RNA is filed under the name Numida meleagris (helmeted guineafowl). Its description in RNAcentral is "lncRNA (ENSNMEG00000014320.1)". The record is from RNAcentral. Lineage: Eukaryota; Metazoa; Chordata; Aves; Galliformes; Numididae.
UGAGGGUUGAGUAUGCCAAACAGAGUUUCAUAAGGAUCUCAGUAUCAGCACUACAGCAAAUGAAAUGGAGAGAAUCCACAUCUGAGACACAGCUUUUCUGCUGCAGUGCAGGUGACAAGGAAUGGGGAGUGAGGCUAUGAGGUGACCCUACCUCUUGCUGCCAAGCUGCUAGCAGUCUCACAAAUAACCAUUACAUUGAACUGGGCAACUUCAACUGGCAUCCCAACAUUUCCAGGUUCACAAAGAGUUGGGUGUGGUGGAAAUGAGCACUGCAAACUGAAAUUCAAGAAGCCAAGAUAAAUGUUCUCAUUAUAAGUGCCAAACUGUCCAAAGGUCAGAUCUUUGUAAGCAAGGUCUUACUAGGAAAAGGCACAUGUCUGGAAUAGAAGACCAUCUGCCUGUCUUGUGACCUUGAUGCUGUGUCUUAAUUAAAUAAGUCAUAUUAAAAGGAAGGAUAGGAACAACGUGGGUCCCAGCUGUCUGCUCUGAGGGAAGCUGGUCUGCCUGAGACCAACAGUGCGGCAGCCAUGAAAGACAACAGUGCAGAGCAGGCACAGCUUGCAAGUGGAAAAUCCGGAAACGCACACUGAAUUCUCAGCUAGAAAAAGCUCCCUCUGCAAUCAGCUGUUAGGAUAUCUGAAGAAAAACUGAAUAAAUUAAUAAGCCCUUGGUGUCCAUAGACUCAGACAAAAAGCCUCCUCUACCACUGAUGCAGCUGUUCUGGGAGGAAGUUUCACUGGAUACCCCCAAGAAAGCAAGUGUCACAUCAACCAACCACAUCAAGCAACCAGACAUGGAACAAGUUUUAAGGUCUCCCUCACUGAGCCUGUAAAUCUUAUUAUCUUCAGUAAGAAUAACAGUGCAUGCAGAGAACUCAUCACAAGCACAGCUAGGCAAACAGACAUAAAAUUGCUGGUUGUACGUCUGUGCAACAUGUUGUAGUGCUUGCGUCCACAUUGUUUGAAAUAAUGCAGAAAGAAGAGCAGGGGGAAAAAGAAAGAAUAAAAGAAAAAUAAAGAAUCCA